This 301-nucleotide ribosomal RNA is filed under the name uncultured bacterium. RNAcentral's name for it is "partial 16S ribosomal RNA". It matches the Rfam family "Bacterial small subunit ribosomal RNA", at positions 509 to 807 of the family's 1533-position model. The record is from RNAcentral.
CAGCCGCCGCGGGAAAACGGAGGGUGCAAGCGUUAAUCGGAAUUACUGUGCGUAAAGCGCACGCAGGCGGUUUGUUAAGUCAGAUGUGAAAUCCCCGAGCUUAACUUGGGAACUGCAUUUGAAACUGGCAAGCUAGAGUCUUGUAGAGGGGGGUAGAAUUCCAGGUGUAGCGGUGAAAUGCGUAGAGAUCUGGAGGAAUACCGGUGGCGAAGGCGGCCCCCUGGACAAAGACUGACGCUCAGGUGCGAAAGCGUGGGGAGCAAACAGGAUUAGAUACCCCAGUAGUCCCUGUCUCUUAUAC